This 487-nucleotide ribosomal RNA is filed under the name uncultured bacterium. RNAcentral describes it as "partial 16S ribosomal RNA". It matches the Rfam family "Bacterial small subunit ribosomal RNA", at positions 28 to 507 of the family's 1533-position model. The record is from RNAcentral.
GACGAACGCUGGCGGCGUGCUUAACACAUGCAAGUCGAACGGGCUCUGUCUGGCUGUGUGCUGGGUGGGGUUAGUGGCGAACGGGUGAGUAAUACGUGAGUAACCUGCCCUCUUCUUUGGGAUAAGCCUUGGAAACGGGGUCUAAUACUGGAUAUUCCUGUCUGGUCGCAUGGCUGGGUGGGGAAAGUUUUUUUCGGUGGGGGAUGGGCUCGCGGCCUAUCAGCUUGUUGGUGGGGUGAUGGCCUACCAAGGCGUCGACGGGUAGCCGGCCUGAGAGGGUGACCGGCCACACUGGGACUGCGAUACGGCCCAGACUCCUACGGGAGGCAGCAGUGGGGGAUAUUGCACAAUGGGCGCAAGCCUGAUGCAGCGACGCCGCGUGGGGGAUGCCGGCUUUCGGGUUGUAAACCUCUUUCGUCGGGGGACAAGGCUCUGCUUGGUGGUGGGGUUGAGGGUACCCGGUGAAGAAGCGCCGGCUAACUACGUG